RNAcentral lists this ribosomal RNA (484 nucleotides) under uncultured bacterium. Its description in RNAcentral is "partial 16S ribosomal RNA". It matches the Rfam family "Bacterial small subunit ribosomal RNA", at positions 30 to 507 of the family's 1533-position model. The record is from RNAcentral.
AUUGAACGCUGGCGGCAGGCCUAACACAUGCAAGUCGAGCGGAUGAAGGGAGCUUGCUCCUGGAUUCAGCGGCGGACGGGUGAGUAAUGCCUAGGAAUCUGCCUGGUAGUGGGGGAUAACGUCCGGAAACGGGCGCUAAUACCGCAUCCGUCCUGAGGGAGAAAGUGGGGGAUCUUCGGACCUCACGCUAUCAGAUGCGCCUAGGUCGGAUUAGCUAGUUGGUGGGGUAAAGGCCUACCAAGGCGACGAUCCGUAACUGGUCUGAGAGGAUGAUCAGUCACACUGGAACUGAGACACGGUCCAGACUCCUACGGGAGGCAGCAGUGGGGAAUAUUGGACAAUGGGCGAAAGCCUGAUCCAGCCAUGCCGCGUGUGUGAAGAAGGUCUUCGGAUUGUAAAGCACUUUAAGUUGGGAGGAAGGGCAGUAAGUUAAUACCUUGCUGUUUUGACGUUACCAACAGAAUAAGCACCGGCUAACUUCGUG